Molecule: small nuclear RNA, 103 nt
Organism: Oryctolagus cuniculus (rabbit)
Lineage: Eukaryota; Metazoa; Chordata; Mammalia; Lagomorpha; Leporidae
Source: Ensembl
CGGUUUCAGUAGCCCAGAUACCAAAACUGGAAUGGCUCAGAGAAGACUAGCACGGUCCCUGCGCGAGGAUGACACACAGACCUGUGAAGCGUUCCCUGUGUGG